AGAGUUUGAUCCUGGCUCAGGAUGAACGCUAGCGGCAGGCCUAACACAUGCAAGUCGAGGGGUAGAACACUUCGGUGUUUGAGACCGGCGCACGGGUGCGUAACGCGUAUGCAAUCUACCUUAUACAGGGGAAUAGCCCAGAGAAAUUUGGAUUAAUGCCCCAUAGUGUUAUAGAAUCGCAUGGUUUUAUAACUAAAGUUCCAACGGUAUAAGAUGAGCAUGCGUCCCAUUAGUUAGUUGGUAAGGUAACGGCUUACCAAGACAAUGAUGGGUAGGGGUCCUGAGAGGGAGAUCCCUCACACUGGUACUGAGACACGGACCAGACUCCUACGGGAGGCAGCAGUGAGGAAUAUUGGUCAAUGGGCGCAAGCCUGAACCAGCCAUGCCGCGUGCAGGAAGAAGCAUCUAUGGUGUGUAAACUGCUUUUAUACAGGAAGAAACACCUCCACGUGUGGAGGCUUGACGGUACUGUAGGAAUAAGGAUCGGCUAACUCCGUGCCAGCAGCCGCGGUAAUACGGAGGAUCCAAGCGUUAUCCGGAAUCAUUGGGUUUAAAGGGUCCGUAGGCGGUCUUAUAAGUCAGUGGUGAAAGCCCAUCGCUCAACGAUGGAACUGCCAUUGAUACUGUAAGACUUGAAUUUUUGUGAAGUAACUAGAAUAUGUAGUGUAGCGGUGAAAUGCUUAGAUAUUACAUGGAAUACCAAUUGCGAAGGCAGGUUACUAACAAACGAUUGACGCUGAUGGACGAAAGCGUGGGGAGCGAACAGGAUUAGAUACCCUGGUAGUCC
This 787-nucleotide ribosomal RNA is filed under the name uncultured bacterium. Its description in RNAcentral is "bacterial SSU rRNA". It matches the Rfam family "Bacterial small subunit ribosomal RNA", at positions 8 to 796 of the family's 1533-position model. The record is from RNAcentral.